This is a non-coding RNA of Biomphalaria pfeifferi, 285 nucleotides long. Lineage: Eukaryota; Metazoa; Mollusca; Gastropoda; Planorbidae. The record is from the annotation of a GenBank genome assembly.
CUUUUGGGGGGUAUAGCUUGUCUUUAUUUUGUACACCGGAUACACUAAAAAAAAAGAGAUAUUUAUAGUUUUUUUUAACCAUGUAUGAAAAUAUAUUACUUCAAAGUAUUUCUUAGGUUUAAUACAUGCAUUGUUCAUGUCCACAUCAAAAUGAAAUUUACUUACGGUAAAUCACAACUUUGGAAUUACUCAAUUAAAUCAACUGGUAGGAUAUCACAUAUAGGUCCAGCUUUGAAGAACACUCUAGAAUGGCCGUUUCGUGCAAAGGGAGGUUAUGAACAGAAC